Molecule: ribosomal RNA, 490 nt
Filed under: uncultured bacterium
Lineage: Bacteria
Description: partial 16S ribosomal RNA
Rfam family: Bacterial small subunit ribosomal RNA
Source: RNAcentral
AUUGAACGCUGGCGGCAGGCCUAACACAUGCAAGUCGAACGGUAACAGGAAGAAGCUUGCUUCUUUGCUGACGAGUGGCGGACGGGUGAGUAAUGUCUGGGAAACUGCCUGAUGGAGGGGGAUAACUACUGGAAACGGUAGCUAAUACCGCAUAAUGUCGCAAGACCAAAGAGGGGGACCUUCGGGCCUCUUGCCAUCGGGUGUGCCCAGAUGGGAUUAGCUAGUAGGUGGGGUAACGGCUCACCUAGGCGACGAUCCCUAGCUGGUCUGAGAGGAUGACCAGCCACACUGGAACUGAGACACGGUCCAGACUCCUACGGGAGGCAGCAGUGGGGAAUAUUGCACAAAGGGCGCAAGCCUGAUGCAGCUAUGCCGCGUGUAUGAAGAAGGCCUUCGGGUUGUAAAGUACUUUCAGCGGGGAGGAAGGGAGUAAAGUUAAUACCUUUGCUCAUUGACGUUACCCGCAGAAGAAGCACCGGCUAACUCCGUG